This 74-nucleotide transfer RNA is filed under the name Drechslerella stenobrocha 248. RNAcentral's name for it is "tRNA-Met (CAT) (tRNA-Met-CAT-1-1)". It matches the Rfam family "tRNA". Rfam says of the family: Transfer RNA (tRNA) molecules are approximately 80 nucleotides in length. Their secondary structure includes four short double-helical elements and three loops (D, anti-codon, and T loops). Lineage: Eukaryota; Fungi; Ascomycota; Orbiliomycetes; Orbiliales; Orbiliaceae. The record is from RNAcentral.
GCCUUCAUGGUGUAGUUGGUUAUCACGUGAGUCUCAUAAUCUCGAGGUCACCAGUUCGAUCCUGGUUGAGGGCA